This 221-nucleotide ribosomal RNA is filed under the name uncultured bacterium. RNAcentral's name for it is "partial 16S ribosomal RNA". It matches the Rfam family "Bacterial small subunit ribosomal RNA", at positions 505 to 723 of the family's 1533-position model. The record is from RNAcentral.
GUGCCAGCAGCCGCGGUGAUACAGAGGGUGCAAGCGUUAAUCGGAAUUACUGGGCGUAAAGCGCGCGUAGGUGGUUUGUUAAGUUGGAUGUGAAAGCCCCGGGCUCAACCUGGGAACUGCAUUCAAAACUGACAAGCUAGAGUAUGGUAGAGGGUGGUGGAAUUUCCUGUGUAGCGGUGAAAUGCGUAGAUAUAGGAAGGAACGACCACGUGGCGAAGGAC